AACUAAGAAAUGAACUGAUAAAUUGCAUAAAAAAUAGGAACAAGGGAAUGAAGUCAACAAGUUUAGUUACCUACAUUUUCUCAAGACCUCGCAUUCUGAGAGUAAAGAAGACACAUCGUGAGCUUUCAUUAUUCAAAGUUGGAUGAUGCAUUUCCAACAAGCAUCAAAAAGAUCUUUUUUUCUUUUUUAAACAGAGAAUCCCAACUUGGUUAUAAGCUCCCUAAACUGAAAAACAGUAGGCAGUGGCAAAGGAGUCAAGACAGAGAGGUCUGUGAACAGUGAUGGUGGUUGAGCAUUGCUAAUGCAACCUAGAAAGUAAUAUAACAAUCUCUUAGUAAAUACUGAAACAUCACAGGAAGAGGAAAUGUGUCAGAAAUUCAAAAUAUUUCGCUGUUAAAUAAUGAUUAUAAUUUUAUUAAAGAAGAAAAAUAACUUCAUUUUCAUAACCAAGAAAUAAUGCAUCCCUUGAAUGUGUUACAUUAUGAAUUAUGAAAAUGAUCCAUAUCUCCAGCACUUUGAAAAUGAGUACAAGGAUAAAAAUAAAACCCCACUUUGAAUGACAAAGGCACUUAAAAUCAUAUCAAGUUACUAUAGUCUAUAGCAUAUCACACAUUUUUCAAUCUAUAUGCAUCUGGUUAAAAUUAAAUCCCCAAACUUCAGCAAUUCAAUUAUAUGAUUUCUAACAAAAAAUAAUAAAUAAAUAACAAAAGCACACUUCAGCAAAUUAUAAAUUGAAUUAUGAAAAUAUCAAUUUAUUAACCAAACCACCAAUCAACCUAAGAUUUGGAUCAAAAGCAAUUACUAGGUGUUCCAAUUUAGCAAA
This 823-nucleotide unclassified non-coding RNA is filed under the name Hevea brasiliensis (rubber tree). The record is from RNAcentral. Lineage: Eukaryota; Viridiplantae; Streptophyta; Magnoliopsida; Malpighiales; Euphorbiaceae.